CACGACCUCCCCGUCCGCCAGAAAAUUACGGGCUUUAACCCCCGCCUAAAACUCAAAAGACUUGACGGUGUUCCAACCUACCUAGAGGAGCCUGUUCCAUAAUCGAUAUUCCACGAUCAACCCCACCACCCCUAGAAUAUCUCAGCCUAUAUACCGCCGUCACCAGCCCACCUUUUAAAAGAUACAAAUUAGGCACAACAGUAUUUUACUAACACGCCAGGUCAAGGUGUAGCUCACGGGGUGGCGCGAAUGGGCUACAUUAUCUAUACUAGAUUAUACGAAUUAUUUCUUGAUAAAGUCAUAUAAAGGCGGAUUUAGCAGUAAAUUAAGCUAGAAUACUCAAUUUAACCCACGCCCUGGAACA
Molecule: ribosomal RNA, 364 nt
Filed under: Loxopholis parietalis
Lineage: Eukaryota; Metazoa; Chordata; Lepidosauria; Squamata; Gymnophthalmidae
Description: partial small subunit ribosomal RNA
Source: RNAcentral